UACGUAGGUGGCAAGCGUUGUCCGGAAUUAUUGGGCGUAAAGCGCGCGCAGGCGGUCCUUUAAGUCUGAUGUGAAAGCCCACGGCUCAACCGUGGAGGGUCAUUGGAAACUGGGGGACUUGAGUACAGGAGAGAAGAGUGGAAUUCCACGUGUAGCGGUGAAAUGCGUAGAGAUGUGGAGGAACACCAGUGGCGAAGGCGGCCCCCUGGGCCGCGCCUGACGCUGAGACGCGAAAGCGCGGGGAGCGAACGGG
This 253-nucleotide ribosomal RNA is filed under the name uncultured bacterium. Its description in RNAcentral is "partial 16S ribosomal RNA". It matches the Rfam family "Bacterial small subunit ribosomal RNA", at positions 524 to 776 of the family's 1533-position model. The record is from RNAcentral.